GAUUUCUGACGAACCGGAGUGGCCCGUUUCCUUUCAGGGAAUGAGUGCCGCUUUGAGUUUGUCAUCCUUCCAGAGAGCUGCGUCUACCGUUUAUUCGGCCGGACGUAUGCGAUCUGGAUCUAUUACUUUGAAAACAUUAGAGUGUUUCAAGCAGGCUUUAUGCUAUGAAUACAUUAGCAUGGAAUAAUAAUUUAGGACUUCGGUUCUAUUUUGUUGGUUUCUAGGACUGAAGUAAUGAUUGAUAGGGACAGUUGGGGGUGCUAGUAUUCAGCGGCCAGAGGUGAAAUUCUCGGAUUCGCUGAAGACUAACUUAUGCGAAAGCAUU
This 325-nucleotide ribosomal RNA is filed under the name uncultured Euglypha. Its description in RNAcentral is "SSU rRNA". The stretch from base 112 to 325 matches the Rfam family "Eukaryotic small subunit ribosomal RNA", at positions 741 to 955 of the family's 1831-position model. The record is from RNAcentral. Lineage: Eukaryota; Cercozoa; Imbricatea; Euglyphida; Euglyphidae.